This is a non-coding RNA of Cricetulus griseus (Chinese hamster), 2889 nucleotides long. The record is from RefSeq and is a predicted model, not a curated record. NCBI's taxonomy places the organism in Eukaryota, Metazoa, Chordata, Mammalia, Rodentia, Cricetidae.
CAGAAGUGGCCAAAUAUAUAAUUAGUGAUUAAAAGGACAACUGCCCACUUAAACACGAAGAAUAAGGAAAGGAAGAGAGAAAGACAGAAGGAAGGAAAGAAGAAAGGAAGAGAAGUAGAUGGAUUGCACUGAGAAACAUACCACUCAUUUUUUCUGGUGCCUUUAAUUUGCAAGAUUCAGCAGCUUUGCAGAGUUCAAUGGCAUCCUAUGAUCCCAGAGAAAAGUGAGGGUUUCUCUGUGGCUUUGGAGGCUGUCCUGGAACUAGCUCCUUAAACACCAGGCUAGAAUCAAACAGAGAUCUACCUGCCUCUGCUGCCAGAGUUCUGGGAUUAAAGGUAACCUUCAACUGGAGCUGGCUUACAGUAUCAAAGGCUUAGUACAUUAUCUUCAUGGCAGAGUGCAGGCAGACAUGGAGCUGGAGAAGAGGGUGAGAAUUCUGCAUCUUGAUCCCCAGGCAGCCGAAGCCAUUGCCCGUGAGAUCCAGCUUGAGCCUACAUGAAAUCUCAAAGCCCACCUCCAUAGUGAUAUACUUCCUCCAACAAGGCCAUAAUUCAACGAGGCCACACCUCCUAAUUAAUAGUGCCAUUCACCCUGAGCCAAGCACUCAAACACAUGAGUCGAGGGGCCAUACUUAUUCUAACAACUUCAGUAGGUGUAUCAUUGACUAUAUCCAAUGCGUAAUAACUUGUUAUGAGUUCAUUAUGUAAGUUUUAUUUAAUUUUUGAUUUACAAAGUAGUUACACUGAUUUAUAUGGUAUAGUGUGAUGAUUCCAUUCCUGUUCACAUUAUGUAAUGACCAAACAAGAGCAAUUUUCCCUCCAUCUUCUCAAACACAAGUCAUUUCUCGGUAAUAAUUUCAUCAAUACUUUUUCCAGCUGUCUUCAGCUAUAUAAUAUAUUAAGGUCCAUGAAUUAGUUUUUUUUUCAUUUUAAAAAUGCUACUAUUAAUUCAUUUCAAUUGUAUCUAGAAUGGGGUACAAUACAACCUUUACCCUAAGUAGAUGAUUUAAUGUCACCUGCUUUGUUAUGAUUCUAUUUUCUCAUUUUCUGGGUUUCACAAGUUGAAGAUCGUAUCUCCAACUUAUUACUGCAUUUGUCUAGAGGCACUGUUCUGAUUGAAAUGCCAUUAAUCCUCUGGGAAAUAAAACUAUGGAUUUGAUGGGGAUGCUGCCCACACAUCGUUGAUGGAACCUUUGGCUUUGUUACUGUAGCUGUCAAAAUAAACUCAUAUGAAAUAUGAAAAGACAGACUCCUCAUUUUUAGAUGCCAGAUGCCCUUCUAUAACUCUCAAAGUAUUUUCUAUUCAUCAUAUACAGGAUCUAUAUUUUCUCUAUCACAAGGCUAUGAAGUAAAUACUGUCUAGCAAAUGUGCACAGGUCACAGGCAAAUUUGUUUAUUAGCACAGCACAUGCCUGCCUCAAUCCCAUACAUAGUUAUUUCUAGUAGCAACAUAUAUUUAAGUUUAAUGCAUAUAUUUAUAAUAAUGUGACACUGUCAAUUCUUUCUAAACUGGAAAUUCAUGAUGUCACCACUGUACAUUCUUUCACAUAUGAAUAUAAAAUACUAUUUUCUCUCUGAGUUUGGGAAUAGCAUUAACUAUAUGCCUUUGGGGGCUGGAAAUAAGGAUGAGUCAGUUUAUUUUAUUUUAAUUUAAUCUAUUACUUGAAUGUAAUACAAAUGGAAAUGUAAAUACUGGGCCAAAUUAGUAUACAUAAAAUAAUAAAUUUGUAUGUUCUAAGCGAUUGAUAAUUUUUACUGAUGUACCACUGUUCCAUUUUUAUACUAUAAAUGUAAUUACAUUCUCUUAAAAAUAUUGCAAAUGUUUAUAUUAGAUAAAAAUAAGCAGAAAAUUGAAAAUAAGUUUGAACUUGGGGUCAUCUUUAAUCCAUUAUCAUCUGGUUUGCAUAUUUUGUUUUGUUUUCUUUUGGCAGGUAAACAGUAUAAUAUAAAGUUAUUCAUCUGUGGAAACUAUAAUCUGUGCACUGCUGUUUCUUUGCUGAGCAAACACAUUCUCUGGAUUAGAAUGUGUAUUUGACAUUUUAAUUCACAUUAAAUAGGUUUAGGACAGAAUCGAUAUUGUCAAUCACAUAUCAUUGUCCUGUUUCUUUCUUUUAAAUUUUCUAGAAUUAGACUUGUCUCAUGGUAUCAAUAAGUGAUAAUCACAUUAUUGAAUCAUGUCAGUAUUCUGGGUUAUGCAAAUGAUUAUUGACAACAUCAGAUGAUAUUUGAAACAUGCCUUUUAACAGGUGAAAAAUAAGACAUCUUUGUGGCUUCUGUUAUUCACAAAUGCAUUUUAAUCUGGGAAACUGGUGUUAACUGUUGAUAAGGGUUGGUGAAUAAUGACUACGGAUUUGAUGAAUUAGAUAUGUUCAUUUUCUUAUUUUUAAGAAAUAUGAACCUGAGUUUUCAAUGGCAAGACAGGUAGAAUUGAAGUUUCCACAAAAUGAACCAAUAAUAAAAUAUUCUAUAUAGCAUAUUGGACAUAACAAGAAUCUUUAUUUGAGAUUUUAUCCAGGAUACAUUGUCCUAUUUGAAAAGAACAAUACAAGUAAAAGAGUAUGUAAACAAUAUAUCAAGGGCCAGUUUUCUAGGUUGUUAGCUAUAUAAAGGCAAACUGAAAUUGAACAAAUUGUUUAUGACACACACUUUUAUGAAAUUUUCAAAACUUACUUCCAUAAAAUGUGUGCGUGCAUAUGUGUGUGCAUACGUGUGUGCAUAUGUUUGAGUGUAUGCAUUUGCUCACAUAAUAUAACGCCAUUAAUUAUGGAGUACAUCUUUUGUUUUGUAAUAUUAUUAGGGAAUAAAUUAUGUCAAAGUUGUAAAAUGUAAUUUUGAAGUGCAAACUAAGUAGCAGACACUAUACAAUAUUCUAUAUGAGCAAAAAGACAAU